This 648-nucleotide ribosomal RNA is filed under the name Streptomyces sp. Its description in RNAcentral is "bacterial SSU rRNA". It matches the Rfam family "Bacterial small subunit ribosomal RNA", at positions 87 to 749 of the family's 1533-position model. Lineage: Bacteria; Bacillati; Actinomycetota; Actinomycetes; Kitasatosporales; Streptomycetaceae. RNAcentral also lists the same sequence under 1 other name. The record is from RNAcentral.
UGGAUUAAGUGGCGAACGGGUGAGUAACACGUGGGCAAUCUGCCCUUCACUCUGGGACAAGCCCUGGAAACGGGGUCUAAUACCGGAUAUGAGCCUGGGAGGCAUCUCCCGGGCUGUAAAGCUCCGGCGGUGAAGGAUGAGCCCGCGGCCUAUCAGCUUGUUGGUGAGGUAAUGGCUCACCAAGGCGACGACGGGUAGCCGGCCUGAGAGGGCGACCGGCCACACUGGGACUGAGACACGGCCCAGACUCCUACGGGAGGCAGCAGUGGGGAAUAUUGCACAAUGGGCGAAAGCCUGAUGCAGCGACGCCGCGUGAGGGAUGACGGCCUUCGGGUUGUAAACCUCUUUCAGCAGGGAAGAAGCGAAAGUGACGGUACCUGCAGAAGAAGCGCCGGCUAACUACGUGCCAGCAGCCGCGGUAAUACGUAGGGCGCAAGCGUUGUCCGGAAUUAUUGGGCGUAAAGAGCUCGUAGGCGGCUUGUCACGUCGAUUGUGAAAGCCCGAGGCUUAACCUCGGGUCUGCAGUCGAUACGGGCUAGCUAGAGUGUGGUAGGGGAGAUCGGAAUUCCUGGUGUAGCGGUGAAAUGCGCAGAUAUCAGGAGGAACACCGGUGGCGAAGGCGGAUCUCUGGGCCAUUACUGACGCUGA